RNAcentral lists this transfer RNA (73 nucleotides) under Ailuropoda melanoleuca (giant panda). It matches the Rfam family "tRNA". From Rfam's summary of the family: Transfer RNA (tRNA) molecules are approximately 80 nucleotides in length. Their secondary structure includes four short double-helical elements and three loops (D, anti-codon, and T loops). Further hydrogen bonds mediate the characteristic L-shaped molecular structure. tRNAs have two regions of fundamental functional importance: the anti-codon, which is responsible for specific mRNA codon recognition, and the 3' end, to which the tRNAs corresponding amino acid is attached (by aminoacyl-tRNA synthetases). tRNAs cope with the degeneracy of the genetic code in two manners: having more than one tRNA (with a specific anti-codon) for a particular amino acid; and 'wobble' base-pairing, i.e. permitting non-standard base-pairing at the 3rd anti-codon position. Lineage: Eukaryota; Metazoa; Chordata; Mammalia; Carnivora; Ursidae. The record is from Rfam by way of RNAcentral.
ACCUGGCUGGCUCAGUUGGAAGAGCAUGUGACUUUUGAUCUCAGGGUCAUGAGUUUGAGCCUCACUUUGGGUA